This 1633-nucleotide long non-coding RNA is filed under the name Marmota monax (woodchuck). Lineage: Eukaryota; Metazoa; Chordata; Mammalia; Rodentia; Sciuridae. The record is from RNAcentral.
AAAAAGGCUGCCCACAUGAUCCGGGCCGCGGCAGCAACGCUGGUUGGCUGCGCCUCCCCCUGCUCGGUCCGGAGCUCACACCCGCGCCCGCGCCUCCUGCCAACCCCGCGCCCCGCGCAACACGCCCAGGCGGAGCCCCCCUCGCCCACGUCCACGUUCACGCGCGCGGUCUCGCGCAGUGGUGAGGCUGCUGUUGGGUCGCCUCUGCUGUCGGCUUUACACGCAGGUCAUUAACGAGGGGGCGUGCCCGAGGAGAUUUUUCCCAUAAAGCAUUUUUCUUCUUUUUUUUUUCCUCUCUUUUGCAAAACUGACUUUUACCCCUUUCCACUUCUCGCCAGUCGUUUCAAUCUCUCCAGGGCUGCUCGUGCUUCUGCACUCAAGUUUAUUUAUUUUCCCACCUGGGUUGGGGUUUUAGGAUUCGGAUUCUGAUUUUUACCUCUUGUUGCUGCUGUGCCUAAGGAGGGAAAGAGAAGCAGCUGCGGGAGGAUCGGGAAGGUUUUCUGAUGUAGUCAUCAGGGAGGUGCCACUCGCUCGUGCGCGCUCUCUUUCUCUCUCUUUUUUUGUUUUUCCUUUUUUCCCCAUUUCAAACUGAUUGAUGUAUCUCUACAAGUUGCUGGACUUGGGGCCAGCCCCGUCGGAGUCACAGGGACACUUCUGAGAGCUCACCCGGGGCUCUUGGCACCGCGUGUGGGGAAUCAGUCUCGCUCCCGGAAGGCGAUCGGAGACUGACAUCAGCCCAUCCCGGAGUUGGAGGGAUCCUUUUGAAAGUGAUUGUUUCCCCUCCCGCUCUCCAGCAGAACAGUUGGGUUGGCGUCGUCUUGCAGGUUUGGGAAUCCCAGCUCCGCCGGGCUGGCUGGUUCAUAACCUCUACUCUUCAUUCACUUUGGUGCACCCACACCCGGCCAAGAAAAGCACACAGGAGAAAUCCCUGAGACUCGGCCACUGCCCGGGGUGCCGACUCCCGCUGCCGCUGCAGUCCGACUCCACUAGGGACCUGCGGGAAGACUCGAAGAGCCAAACUUUUCUUUGAGGUUUUCGAGGCAAGACCGCUCCUCGCCAGCGCAGCUGCCGGUUAACCAGUUCCAGGACGCCGGCGGGGCUGGGUUUGCGGCUCCAGAUCCCCACCCUUCUCGGCAAGCCGCCCGGUACCGCAGUACCAACUACUCCUCCGAGAUUUCCAGGGGUCUCCCGGCUAAGGCACAGAGGAGGCUGGGGAAAGCUCUCAGACUUCAGGGGCCACAAGCGUCCAGCCCCCUAUCUACACGGCGCCCUCCUUUUGCAGUUUCCCUCCCGCCGCCAAAGUAACUUGGAGCUAAGCGGGUCGCAGUGCAAGGGCCCCGGGCGUUUGCGAAGCCUUACGCAGCCCGUGGCGCCGACGCUGAGCUGGGCCCGGCGGGCCGGUGUAUGUCUCCCCUCGGCCACGGCGCGCAACUCCCGGUGACUGUGCAGCGCGCGCCGCCGCCAGUUCCGAAUCGCGCUGCCGCCGCCAGGCCCGGCACGCACCUCCCUCUGCCGGGGUGACUGGCCUGCAGCCGCCCGAGACACAGCUUGGCACCCCUUCCCCCGCCUUUGCCGCUGCUACCACACACACGCACGCUUCUCUCCAUCUUGUCUAAGGAAAAAAGAGGGCUUG